UGGCAGCUCCUUCCCUGAACCUGCGGCAGGUGUUCAGGCUGAUCUGACCCCGUCAUACGCACAGAAGAUGAAGGAAGUAAGGGACCGAGGCUCCAUAAGACGAAUCAGGAAACAGGAACCCUCAACACCAGAGCUAGUCCUGCCAAGCCCACUUCAAGGAAAAGGGCUGCAUCAUGUUAGCCCCAUUUUGGGGAAUGGUGGGAAUGUCUUCUUUCUUUUUUUCUUUCUUUCUUCUUCUUUUUUUUUUUUUCUCUAGGUUUCCGCCUGUGGUUACCUUGCUAGGCUUCUCAGGCCCUUUGUGUCCCUCUGUCAGCUACAUCUCAGCCCUUCCUGGCUCGGUUCCUCAGCACAUCUGCUGUGGGCUCAGGGCCCAGGCAUUGUCCAUUAGCGGCUCCAUACAGAGAGGCCUCCGCAGUGGCUGCACAGCUGGAGAGAGACCAUACCCAUGUAUACACAGGCUCCCUGCCUGUCCCCCUCUACCCUGAGUGUUAGAAACUCAGGUUUCCUGUGAAAUCAUUGCCUUUGUAAACCAGGAACCAUGCAUGCAGCCGAGUUCCACAAG
RNAcentral lists this long non-coding RNA (562 nucleotides) under Mus musculus (house mouse). Its description in RNAcentral is "predicted gene 44753". Lineage: Eukaryota; Metazoa; Chordata; Mammalia; Rodentia; Muridae. The record is from RNAcentral.